UCAAAACCAUGCGCUGCUGAGGAAGC
Molecule: non-coding RNA, 26 nt
Filed under: Rattus norvegicus (Norway rat)
Lineage: Eukaryota; Metazoa; Chordata; Mammalia; Rodentia; Muridae
Source: RNAcentral